Molecule: ribosomal RNA, 404 nt
Filed under: Actinomycetes bacterium
Lineage: Bacteria; Bacillati; Actinomycetota; Actinomycetes
Description: Actinobacteria bacterium partial 16S ribosomal RNA
Rfam family: Bacterial small subunit ribosomal RNA
Source: RNAcentral
UGGGGAAUAUUGGACAAUGGGCGCAAGCCUGAUCCAGCCAUGCCGCGUGAGUGAUGAAGGCCCUAGGGUUGUAAAGCUCUUUCACCGGUGAAGAUAAUGACGGUAACCGGAGAAGAAGCCCCGGCUAACUUCGUGCCAGCAGCCGCGGUAAUACGAAGGGGGCUAGCGUUGUUCGGAUUUACUGGGCGUAAAGCGCACGUAGGCGGACUUUUAAGUCAGGGGUGAAAUCCCGGGGCUCAACCCCGGAACUGCCUUUGAUACUGGAAGUCUUGAGUAUGGUAGAGGUGAGUGGAAUUCCGAGUGUAGAGGUGAAAUGCGUAGAUAUUCGGAGGAACACCAGUGGCGAAGGCGGCUCACUGGACCAUUACUGACGCUGAGGUGCGAAAGCGUGGGGAGCAAACAGG